GACGAACGCUGGCGGCGUGCUUAACACAUGCAAGUCGAACGGAAAGGCCCUGCUUUUGUGGGGUGCUCGAGUGGCGAACGGGUGAGUAACACGUGAGUAACCUGCCCUUGACUUUGGGAUAACUUCAGGAAACUGGGGCUAAUACCGGAUAGGAGCUCCUGCUGCAUGGUGGGGGUUGGAAAGUUUCGGCGGUUGGGGAUGGACUCGCCGCUUAUCAGCUUGUUGGUGGGGUAGUGGCUUACCAAGGCUUUGACGGGUAGCCGGCCUGAGAGGGUGACCGGCCACAUUGGGACUGAGAUACGGCCCAGACUCCUCCGGGAGGCAGCAGUGGGGAAUAUUGCACAAUGGGCGGAAGCCUGAUGCAGCAACGCCGCGUGCGGGAUGACGGCCUUCGGGUUGUAAACCGCUUUCGCCUGUGACGAAGCGUGAGCGACGGUAAUGGGUAAAGAAGCACCGGCUAACUACGUG
RNAcentral lists this ribosomal RNA (468 nucleotides) under uncultured bacterium. Its description in RNAcentral is "partial 16S ribosomal RNA". It matches the Rfam family "Bacterial small subunit ribosomal RNA", at positions 28 to 507 of the family's 1533-position model. The record is from RNAcentral.